Molecule: ribosomal RNA, 506 nt
Filed under: uncultured bacterium
Lineage: Bacteria
Description: partial 16S ribosomal RNA
Rfam family: Bacterial small subunit ribosomal RNA
Source: RNAcentral
AGUGAACGCUGGCGGUAGGCCUAACACAUGCAAGUCGAACGGCAGCACAGGAGAGCUUGCUCUCUGGGUGGCGAGUGGCGGACGGGUGAGGAAUACAUCGGAAUCUACUUUUUCGUGGGGGAUAACGUAGGGAAACUUACGCUAAUACCGCAUACGACCUACGGGUGAAAGCAGGGGAUCUUCGGACCUUGCGCGAUUGAAUGAGCCGAUGUCGGACUAGCUAGUUGGCGGGGUAAAGGCCCACCAAGGCGACGAUCCGUAGCUGGUCUGACAGGAUGAUCAGCCACACUGGAACUGAGACACGGUCCAGACUCCUACGGGAGGCAGCAGUGGGGAAUAUUGGACAAUGGGCGCAAGCCUGAUCCAGCCAUACCGCGUGGGUGAAGAAGGCCUUCGGGUUGUAAAGCCCUUUUGUUGGGAAAGAAAUCCAGCUGGUUAAUACCCGGUUGGGAUGACGGUACCCAAAGAAUAAGCACCGGCUAACUUCGUGCCAGCAGCCGCCGUAA